GACGAACCGAGCGAACGUUAUUCGGAAUCACUGGGCUUAAAGGGUGCGUAGGCGGGCACGUCAGUCAGGGGUGAAAUCCCACGGCCCAACCGUGGAAGUGCCUCUGAUACUGCGUGCCUAGAGGGGGACAGGGGCAUGCGGAACUUCCGGUGGAGCGGUGAAAUGCGUAGAUAUCCGGAGGAACACCGACGGCGUAGGCAGCGCCCUGGACGACACCUGACGCUGAGGCACGAAAGCUGGGGGAGCGAACAGG
RNAcentral lists this ribosomal RNA (253 nucleotides) under uncultured bacterium. Its description in RNAcentral is "partial 16S ribosomal RNA". It matches the Rfam family "Bacterial small subunit ribosomal RNA", at positions 524 to 776 of the family's 1533-position model. The record is from RNAcentral.